UGACUGCAGGUGAUAGUGUUGACGUC
Molecule: non-coding RNA, 26 nt
Filed under: Homo sapiens (human)
Lineage: Eukaryota; Metazoa; Chordata; Mammalia; Primates; Hominidae
Source: RNAcentral